AAAAUAUAUAUAAGAGUUUGAUCCUGGCUCAGAUUGAACGUUAUUGGUUAGCUUAACACAUGCAAGUUUAAUUAAUUUUAUUUUUAUAAAAUUAUUGGCGUACGGGUGAGUAAUAUGUAGAAAUUAACCUUAAAAAAUAGUUAAAUACUUUAAAAUAUUUGUUUUAAGAAAAGUCUACACAAGAUUAAGUAGUUGGUAGAAUAAUUGUAUACCAAGCUUAUGAUCUUUAGUUGGUCUGUGGGGAUGUACAACCACAUUGGAAUUGAGAUACGGUCCAAACUUCGUUAGAAGGCAGCAGUGAGGAGUUUUGGGCAAUGAGCGAAAGCUUGACCCAGCUAAACCAAGUGUGUGAAGACGGUAUAAUAUUGUAAAGCACUUUAGUAAAAAAAAUUAUGAUUUAUUUAUGAAAAGUCCUGGCUAAUUUCGUGCCAGCAGCCGCGGUAAAACGAGAAGGGCUAACGUUAUUCGGAUUAAUUGGGCGUAAAGUAUGUGUAGAUGGAAAAUUAAUUUUUAAUUUAAAUAUUAAAGUUUAUUUUUGAACAAAUUAUUAAACUGAUUUUCUAGAGUUUAAAAGAAGAUUAUGGAACUUUAAAUGUAACGGUAAAAUGUUUUGAGAUUUAAAAGAACCUCAAAUGCGGAAGCAAUAAUCUAGCUUAAUACUGACAGUGAAACAUUAAAGCGUGGGUAGCAAAAGGGAUUAGAUACCCCUGUAGUCCACGCCCUGAACGAUGAGUGUUUAUUUUUAUCAAUAGUAUAGAAAUGUAGCUAACGUAUUAAACACUUCGCCUGGGAACUACGAUCGCAAGAUUAAAACUCAAAGGAAUUGACGGGAACCUGCACAAGCAGUGGAGCAUGUGGUUUAAAUCGACAAUACACGCGAAAUCUUACCAAUUUUUGAAUAACUUUUGUUACAGGUGUUGCAUGGCUAUCGUCAGUCCGUGCUGUGAAGCGUUUGGUUUAUUCCAAUAAACGGACAAAACCCUUAUACAUUUUAGAAUGUAUACUGUUAAGGAUAUCUUAAAGGAAGGGAAGGAUGACGUUAAGUCCUCAUGACCCUAAUAAAUUGGGCUACUUUCAUGUGCUACAAUGGUUUAUUCAAAAAGAAGCAAAAUAUGUAAGUUUUAGCAAAUCUUUAAAGUAGACUGUGUUCGGAUUGUUUUCUGAAACUCGAAAAUAUAAAGUUGGAAUUGCUAGUAAUCGUAAAUUAGAAUGUUACGGUGAAUAUGUUCUCAGGUUUUGUACACACCGCCCGUCACGCUAUGGAAAUUUGUUUUAUCUGAAGAUUAGUUUUAUGCUUUUUUACGGUAAAAAAAUAACUAAAGUGAAGUCGUAACAAGGUAGCCGUAGGGGAACCUGCGGCUGGAAAAUAUAAAAGUAAUUCUACUAUCU
RNAcentral lists this ribosomal RNA (1389 nucleotides) under Schimmelmannia schousboei. RNAcentral's name for it is "SSU rRNA". It matches the Rfam family "Bacterial small subunit ribosomal RNA". Lineage: Eukaryota; Rhodophyta; Florideophyceae; Acrosymphytales; Schimmelmanniaceae. The record is from RNAcentral.